This 425-nucleotide long non-coding RNA is filed under the name Salvia miltiorrhiza (redroot sage). RNAcentral's name for it is "long non-coding RNA (SMIL_LNC003584)". The record is from RNAcentral. Lineage: Eukaryota; Viridiplantae; Streptophyta; Magnoliopsida; Lamiales; Lamiaceae.
UGUUAGUAAAUAUUUAUAUAUGUGGUACUUAUGUUUUUUUGUAGGCUUUUUGUUUUUGAGGCUUAAUAGUUUGUAAAUUCAAAAUAUUUUUGUGAAUCCGGGAAUUAUAUUUAAGUUUUUCUCUUCUUUUUUUCUUUAUGAUGCAUAAUUUUUUAUUUUUUCUAAAUUUGGUCUAAUUGUCUGUUUUUCCUAAUUUUAAUUUGACGUGGUUAUCAAAAAAUGACAUGCUGGACACACUGAACACACCCGACAAUCAAUUUUUUUUUCUUAAAGAGGAUCAAUAAUGGUUCUCAUUUUCCCCCUUAGUGACUCGACUCGAACUUCCCGUCUAUUGAUUGGAGGGAAAGCGUCUUACCAAUUGAGUUAUGUUUUGUUGUCACAACCAAGCGAAAUGAUUGAUUAUUUGUAAAUUCAAAAUAUUUUCA